Molecule: long non-coding RNA, 500 nt
Filed under: Phaseolus vulgaris (common bean)
Lineage: Eukaryota; Viridiplantae; Streptophyta; Magnoliopsida; Fabales; Fabaceae
Description: long non-coding RNA (PVUL_LNC004594)
Source: RNAcentral
GCUCGUUUAAUAGAGAUGGAAACUAACUACAUAAACCACAUAUCAUAUAUGAUAUCCUAUAUUUCUAGACAUAAUAAUAUUGAUAAAUUAUGAUCACAUAUUCAACAAUUAAAAAAAUAUAAAGAAUUGAAUAUAAAAUAAACUGAAUAAAAAGUAUAUAUGUGAUAGUUAUUCUAGUGAGAAUUUGAACAACAACUAACAAAUUGAUUCCUUGGAUCUUCAAAAAAGAGCUUCCAAUUCAACAAUAAUAACCUGUCUGGAUCGUAAUGUAAGAAAAUGGCAUGAAAUCAUUUUGUUCUUCUAGCGAAAACCUGUUGGAUAGUGGGCAAUUUAGUCCCAGUGGUUGGAGGUUUGGAUUUAGGUGGUGGCCUUGUUGUAGGAGCAAGAACAUUCUGAAUGCUUCUCUUCUGUGAACUCAUUCUGCCAAACACGCCUUCAACUUGGUUUUGGUUUUAAUUUGUGUAUGGACUAUGAAACAUGGGAAUGUAUGUAUUUAUAGG